GAAAGAUUAAAAGGAGUAAAAGGAACUCGGCAAACACAAACCCCGCCUGUUUACCAAAAACAUCACCUCCAGCAUUUCUAGUAUUGGAGGCACUGCCUGCCCGGUGACACUUGUUUAACGGCCGCGGUAUCCUGACCGUGCAAAGGUAGCAUAAUCAUUUGUUCUCUAAAUAGGGACUUGUAUGAAUGGCCACACGAGGGUUUAACUGUCUCUUACUCCCAAUCAGUGAAAUUGACCUUCCCGUGAAGAGGCGGGAAUACCACAAUAAGACGAGAAGACCCUAUGGAGCUUUAAUUAACUAACCCAAACUUAUGGAUACUAGAUACCUACAAGGCAUAACAUAACACCAUUAUUAUGGGUUAGCAAUUUAGGUUGGGGUGACCUCGGAAUAUAAAAAAACUCCCGAGUGAUUAAAAUUUAGACCCACAAGUCAAAAUACAACAUCACUUAUUGAUCCAAUAAUUUUUGAUCAACGGAACAAGUUACCCUAGGGAUAACAGCGCAAUCCUAUUCAAGAGUCCAUAUCGACAAUAGGGUUUACGACCUCGAUGUUGGAUCAGGACAUCCUAAUGGUGCAGCAGCUAUUAAGGGUUCGUUUGUUCAACGAUUAAAGUCCUACGUGAUCUGAGUUCAGACCGGAGUAAUCCAGGUCGGUUUCUAUCUAUUAUACAACCUCCCCCAGUACGAAAGGACAAGGGAUGUAAGGCCUACCUCACAGAGGCGCCUUAAAACUAAUAGAUGAAGUCAACUCAAUCUAACCAGUUUAUCUCCUCAUAAGCCCGAGAAAAGGGGCUUU
This 796-nucleotide ribosomal RNA is filed under the name Canis lupus chanco (Mongolian wolf). RNAcentral describes it as "partial 16S ribosomal RNA". It matches the Rfam family "Bacterial large subunit ribosomal RNA", at positions 1688 to 2839 of the family's 2925-position model. Lineage: Eukaryota; Metazoa; Chordata; Mammalia; Carnivora; Canidae. The record is from RNAcentral.